AUGCCGAAAUGACCCUGAGAGAUCCCAAUGCAAAUGCAUCGAUCCAAGGAAAUUUUGAUGAUGACAGGGAAAGUGCAGGGAAAACAGAAAAAGAAAAAAAGAAAGGA
Molecule: non-coding RNA, 107 nt
Filed under: Palpitomonas bilix
Lineage: Eukaryota
Source: RNAcentral